Molecule: long non-coding RNA, 2200 nt
Organism: Raphanus sativus (radish)
Lineage: Eukaryota; Viridiplantae; Streptophyta; Magnoliopsida; Brassicales; Brassicaceae
Exons: 8
Source: RefSeq, a predicted model, not a curated record
GUUUGUAGACUUUUUUUUUUGGAAGAUCUCUUGCGAUCCCUCUUCCUCUUCCUCCUCAGUUCUUCUUCAGUAAUGGUGAUCAUUACUGAAACGAUUCCAUUCUCUCUAAAUCUCCGCUACUCUGGAUAAUUGAUUCUGCUCUUUACACCUUCCUUCAAGAUGUAUCCUUUCACUUCCUUUUUUGUUUUACUCAUAUAUAAUCUCUUUCUCGAUUCUUCUAUAUACCUUAAUCUACAACCUCCUCGGACCAUGAUCAAGCUAUGGCCAUGAGAUCUGCUAAAUCCUCUGAAAAGUCUCCUGUUAAGUGUGAUUUCACAGACAUCUUCUCGGUCCAGCCGACUCAGAGCUAAGCUUUGAGCUUCUCCUUUCCGGACGAACAAUCAUCAUAUCUUUUUAACUUCUUCUUCCAUGAUCUAAAUCUAUUCUGUAAAAUUCUUCACACUAAAAAAAAUCCAACGCAGCAAUGGCUGCAGACAAGUCGAAAUCUACUGUGUCAAUACCACAGGGUUGGUCAUCAGAAUCUAUCUUAUACUCAUUGAGGAAAAAGUAUUAGUUCAUAUUUUUGUCCGUUCUCUGUGGUUUGUAAAAUCUCCUUUGUUGUUUGAACAUCAUCUAGAACGUGUGAUCAAUUCAAUCUUUCCAGGAAUCCAUAUGAUUAUUAACAACGAAAUAUUAGAGCUGGAAUACAAACUUAGUCGUCUUGGAAAGCCUCUGAUACUGAGGGGAAGUUAUGAUCGAAGCGUGUCCAUGGAGUGUAUGGUUUCGCCACUUUAGCUGAAUCAGCAAAUAAACAAAACAAGCAACCAGUAGUUUUUGUGAUGUCACUUUUGCUGAAUCAGCAACCAAACAAAACAAAACAAGCAAAUAUGCCACAGAGAUCUGAAGCUUGAGAACACAAGAUUACUUGUCAAAGAAAGCAGAUGAUCUUAAUGAGAACACCCGGAUGUGUGCUCAUGUGGUGUAACCCUUUAUGUGAUGCUGGUUGGAGCUUACCCAUUUGAGGACCCUAAUGAUCCAAAAAAACUUCAGGAAAACAAUCUAAUGUCUCAAUAAUGUAACAAUUCAAAUAUUCUUCCCGGACUACGUUCACAUAUCUCAGAAAUGCAAACACCUUCUCUCUCGCAUAUUCGUUACAAACCCCACUAAGAGAAUCACGCUUACUUGAAGACUCUGCCAAAGGAGCUGCCAGAGUUGGCUCAAGCUGUGUAUUACAAGAGAGACAACACAAGCUAUUCUCUUCAAAGCGUAGAGGACAUAAUGAAGAUCAUUGGAGAAGCUAGGAAUCCUGCUUCCUCUUCACGUGUUUGAAAAAGCUUGGGAUCAGGUGCUGAGGAAGAAUAUGAAGAGGAUGUUGAAGCGGAAGUGGAAGAAGAAGAAGAGGAAGAGGAAGUAGAAGAUGAAUACGAGAAGCAUGUCAAAGAGGCACAUUCUUUUAUUCAAGAGCAUGUCAUAGAAGCAUAAAAGGAAAAAGAAAAGGUGUUCACCGUUGUUCUUACAAAAGCCAAAGGGAGUAAACUACUUGGUACAUGCUACUUCACUUUUAGAUUUGAUGUCUGAAAACAUUCUUUUCUCAUAACUCUUAACCAAAGUGAAUCAGCAACCAAAAAAACAAGCAAUAGCCGUCUUUUCUAUCUUUCUUCGUGUGUUUCUAUUAUUACCAGGUUCAUGCUACCUUGAUGGAUCUGGUUCACAAGUCUGUGAAUGAGACGGUGGGAUUGAACCAAUACCAAGCUUUGACAUGCAUUUAUGUCAGCUCCACUUUGGAUGCAAAAUUGGAGCAUCUACUGACAUAUAGCAUCCUUCGGGAAGCUUUCUUCAGGAAGUCAAAAUGAGAAUUCGGGGGACAGCUCCACUUUGGAUGCAAAAUUUUCAUGUUGAUUUUUGUCAUGUUCGUCUUCUCACAGACCAUAGACAGGAAGAGGAGGAGCGUUUUGUGAGGGAGCUAUAUUGAGGCAGAGCGGAAGCACAAAGAAGAAGAAGAAUAGGUACUAGAGAGAGCAGAGUGUGAAGGUGGAGAGAGAGAAGCUGCUAGAGUGAGAGUGAGACAAGAUAAGACACUUGCUGUUGGAAACGAACCUGAGAAUGGGUUCUCUGUCUGAACCUCACCAAUCAAACAUCUACACUAUGCGUUUUGGACUUGGGUAUUAGCGAAUAUUUGAGAACAUUCUGAUUUAUGGUACCACAAUGAAAUGCUUAGUGA